GUGACCCCAGGUCAGGCGGGACUACCC
RNAcentral lists this ribosomal RNA (27 nucleotides) under Hypericum calycinum. Its description in RNAcentral is "partial 26S ribosomal RNA". Lineage: Eukaryota; Viridiplantae; Streptophyta; Magnoliopsida; Malpighiales; Hypericaceae. The record is from RNAcentral. RNAcentral also lists the same sequence under 38 other names.